RNAcentral lists this ribosomal RNA (883 nucleotides) under uncultured bacterium. Its description in RNAcentral is "bacterial SSU rRNA". It matches the Rfam family "Bacterial small subunit ribosomal RNA", at positions 8 to 885 of the family's 1533-position model. The record is from RNAcentral.
GAGGGUUUGAUCCUGGCUCAGAUUGAACGCUGGCGGCAGGCCUAACACAUGCAAGUCGAGCGGAUGAAGGGAGCUUGCUCCUGGAUUCAGCGGCGGACGGGUGAGUAAUGCCUAGGAAUCUGCCUGGUAGUGGGGGAUAACGUCCGGAAACGGGCGCUAAUACCGCAUACGUCCUGAGGGAGAAAGUGGGGGAUCUUCGGACCUCACGCUAUCAGAUGAGCCUAGGUCGGAUUAGCUAGUUGGUGGGGUAAAGGCCUACCAAGGCGACGAUCCGUAACUGGUCUGAGAGGAUGAUCAGUCACACUGGAACUGAGACACGGUCCAGACUCCUACGGGAGGCAGCAGUGGGGAAUAUUGGACAAUGGGCGAAAGCCUGAUCCAGCCAUGCCGCGUGUGUGAAGAAGGUCUUCGGAUUGUAAAGCACUUUAAGUUGGGAGGAAGGGCAGUAAGUUAAUACCUUGCUGUUUUGACGUUACCAACAGAAUAAGCACCGGCUAACUUCGUGCCAGCAGCCGCGGUAAUACGAAGGGUGCAAGCGUUAAUCGGAAUUACUGGGCGUAAAGCGCGCGUAGGUGGUUCAGCAAGUUGGAUGUGAAAUCCCCGGGCUCAACCUGGGAACUGCAUCCAAAACUACUGAGCUAGAGUACGGUAGAGGGUGGUGGAAUUUCCUGUGUAGCGGUGAAAUGCGUAGAUAUAGGAAGGAACACCAGUGGCGAAGGCGACCACCUGGACUGAUACUGACACUGAGGUGCGAAAGCGUGGGGAGCAAACAGGAUUAGAUACCCUGGUAGUCCACGCCGUAAACGAUGUCGACUAGCCGUUGGGAUCCUUGAGAUCUUAGUGGCGCAGCUAACGCGAUAAGUCGACCGCCUGGGGAGUACGG